GAUGAACGCUGGCGGCGUGCCUAAUACAUGCAAGUCGAGCGAACGGACGAGAAGCUUGCUUCUCUGAUGUUAGCGGCGGACGGGUGAGUAACACGUGGAUAACCUACCUAUAAGACUGGGAUAACUUCGGGAAACCGGAGCUAAUACCGGAUAAUAUUUUGAACCGCAUGGUUCAAAAGUGAAAGACGGUCUUGCUGUCACUUAUAGAUGGAUCCGCGCUGCAUUAGCUAGUUGGUAAGGUAACGGCUUACCAAGGCAACGAUGCAUAGCCGACCUGAGAGGGUGAUCGGCCACACUGGAACUGAGACACGGUCCAGACUCCUACGGGAGGCAGCAGUAGGGAAUCUUCCGCAAUGGGCGAAAGCCUGACGGAGCAACGCCGCGUGAGUGAUGAAGGUCUUCGGAUCGUAAAACUCUGUUAUUAGGGAAGAACAUAUGUGUAAGUAACUGUGCACAUCUUGACGGUACCUAAUCAGAAAGCCACGGCUAACUACGUGCCAGCAGCCGCGGUAAUACGUAGGUGGCAAGCGUUAUCCGGAAUUAUUGGGCGUAAAGCGCGCGUAGGCGGUUUUUUAAGUCUGAUGUGAAAGCCCACGGCUCAACCGUGGAGGGUCAUUGGAAACUGGAAAACUUGAGUGCAGAAGAGGAAAGUGGAAUUCCAUGUGUAGCGGUGAAAUGCGCAGAGAUAUGGAGGAACACCAGUGGCGAAGGCGACUUUCUGGUCUGUAACUGACGCUGAUGUGCGAAAGCGUGGGGAUCAAACAGGAUUAGAUACCCUGGUAGUCCACGCCGUAAACGAUGAGUGCUAAGUGUUAGGGGGUUUCCGCCCCUUAGUGCUGCAGCUAACGCAUUAAGCACUCCGCCUGGGGAGUACGACCGCAAGGUUGAAACUCAAAGGAAUUGACGGGGACCCGCACAAGCGGUGGAGCAUGUGGUUUAAUUCGAAGCAACGCGAAGAACCUUACCAAAUCUUGACAUCCUUUGACAACUCUAGAGAUAGAGCUUUACCCUUCGGGGGACAAAGUGACAGGUGGUGCAUGGUUGUCGUCAGCUCGUGUCGUGAGAUGUUGGGUUAAGUCCCGCAACGAGCGCAACCCUUAAGCUUAGUUGCCAUCAUUAAGUUGGGCACUCUAAGUUGACUGCCGGUGACAAACCGGAGGAAGGUGGGGAUGACGUCAAAUCAUCAUGCCCCUUAUGAUUUGGGCUACACACGUGCUACAAUGGACAAUACAAAGGGCAGCGAAACCGCGAGGUCAAGCAAAUCCCAUAAAGUUGUUCUCAGUUCGGAUUGUAGUCUGCAACUCGACUACAUGAAGCUGGAAUCGCUAGUAAUCGUAGAUCAGCAUGCUACGGUGAAUACGUUCCCGGGUCU
RNAcentral lists this ribosomal RNA (1372 nucleotides) under uncultured bacterium. RNAcentral describes it as "bacterial SSU rRNA". It matches the Rfam family "Bacterial small subunit ribosomal RNA", at positions 28 to 1381 of the family's 1533-position model. The record is from RNAcentral.